AUGAACACUGUCAGAUUGUUCGGGCAACAGUGCUGCAGAAGGCUCACACGCAGAAGCUGCUAUCACAGCGCAAACAACUUAAAAUACCAACCCUGUGGCUGCCAAGACUUCGAAUGGACAGUGCAUCCUCAACUCCCUGAUAAGAACAGAAACAAACAGAGCAUAAGUUUGAGGGUGACUGCAUGAAGGCAAUGAGGAAAAGUAUCAGGGGCAAGCUUAUCGGUUAUUACAAACCAGAGAAGGUCGACGAUGACUGGACCGGUGGGAAUACCGGGCCCUUUCGGAAUCUUCCUGGGAAAGGAGAAAGCACAUGGAGAGUUAAUCGCUGAACGGAGGCUUGUCUUUGUCUAUCACAGCAACUGAGCAAAGAACAGUCGGUUAAGGUCACCAACAUGCUCCUGAUGGGGACGCCCAGUUUACAAACGGAAACCCCGGCCACACGCUAGGACUAUCUGGAGGCCCACAAAGACCGAGGCCCUUUCAGCUUGGUCCUUUCACCUCCCAACCCACUGGCAGACGUGGUGCUCUCCCCAACCCUUGAAUUCUGGCUCUGCCAGGGGCUGAGCAAGUUGCUGACUUCACCAAUCCUUCGUCACCCGACCCAGAAAAUGGAGAUGGUGGUACCUCUCCUAUCGUGCGAAAUGCUGACAUAUGUGAAAGCACUCACACAGCGCUGGCAUACGCAGGCGUACUCAGAGUUAGCAUCCUUCCUGAGCCCCGUGCCCUCGCUUUCCCUGUUCACUUCCCAACAUCCCACACACACGCGCGCGCGCGCGCACACACACAAAGUGUUAAACUUAGGAGAAAUUUCUAACACAGGAGGAUUUUUCCUUCUGGUAACAGACAAUCCUACUUUUUGUAUAUGUUUGGUUUAUUAUACAUUUAUUAUUCUUUAUAUUUUAUAUAGUGACUAUUACAUGCCAACUUCUAUAGGUUCACAAACAGAAAGCAGUCAUACAGACAGAGCUAAGGUGAGAAGUGAAAGGAAAAAUUAGUUUGAAAAGAGUAAAAGCAAGUGUCCGAAGGGGUUAAGUGGUCACUGUUCCCCUCUGAAACUAAACCCCAUGUUCUCUGCAAGUCCCAGCUAUCAUUCAGGACUUGAGUUAGUCACCAUUUACAUUCUAAGCCUCCAAACCCAAAAACACUCCCCCUUCUGUGACAAUCUAGUGCAUUCACUGCCUGAACUGCACACAUUUCACAGAGAUAAAAAAAAAAAAGUAUGUUUAUCUUCACGGCCUUUGAA
Long non-coding RNA from Felis catus (domestic cat), 1243 nucleotides. RefSeq lists it as uncharacterized. The transcript has 2 exons. Lineage: Eukaryota; Metazoa; Chordata; Mammalia; Carnivora; Felidae. The record is from RefSeq and is a predicted model, not a curated record.